RNAcentral lists this ribosomal RNA (379 nucleotides) under uncultured bacterium. RNAcentral's name for it is "bacterial SSU rRNA". It matches the Rfam family "Bacterial small subunit ribosomal RNA", at positions 521 to 896 of the family's 1533-position model. The record is from RNAcentral.
UAAAACGUAGGAGGCAAGCGUUAUCCGGAGUUACUGGGCGUAAAGCGUGCGUAGGUGGUUGGACAAGUUCGGUGUGAAAGCGCCCGGCUUAACCGGGCGAGGACAUUGAAGACUGUUCGACUCGAGGGUGGUAGAGGGGCGUAGAAUUCCGGGUGUAGCGGUGAAAUGUGUAGAGAUCCGGAGGAAUACCAGUGGUGCAGACGGCGCCCUGGGCCAACCCUGACACUGAGGCACGAAAGCGUGGGGAGCGAACGGGAUUAGAGACCCCGGUAGUCCACGCCGUAAACGAUGCGAACUGGGUGCGCACUGGCCGCAAGGCCAGGGCGUGCCGUAGCUAACGCGCUAAGUUCGCCGCCUGGGGAGUACGGUCGCAAGGCUA